RNAcentral lists this ribosomal RNA (216 nucleotides) under Glomeromycotina sp. RNAcentral describes it as "partial small subunit ribosomal RNA". The stretch from base 40 to 216 matches the Rfam family "Eukaryotic small subunit ribosomal RNA", at positions 686 to 864 of the family's 1831-position model. The record is from RNAcentral. Lineage: Eukaryota; Fungi; Glomeromycota.
GGGUCAGUAGGUUGGUCGUGCCACCGGUACGUACUGGUCUCACUGAUUCCUCCUUCCUGAAGAACCGUAAUGCCAUUAAUUUGGUGUAGCGGGGAAACAGGACUGUUACUUUGAAAAAAUUAGAGUGUUUAAAGCAGGCUAACGCUUGAAUACAUUAGCAUGGAAUAAUGAAAUAGGACGAUCGAUCCUAUUUUGUUGGUUUCUAGGAUUGACGUA